CUGUGCAAAUCAACUCGCUCCGAUCUUCACAAGGAUCUUCAACAAGUCACUGGAGACGUAUGAGGUCCCCUCCUGCCUCACCUAGUACCUUGCAGAGCAACUUCCUGCUAAGGCUAGCAUCUUCACUCUUUACUUUGAAAUAACAGGUGUAGCGAGUUAUGUAUAGAUAUGUCAGGGAUUCAGAUGUGCAUGUUUCAAAUAUACUAUGAUCAGGACCCUGAUCCAAUCCCAACUAUUACUAAUAACCUAUUGGUCAUAAAAAUAUCUAAGCCAGGAAAAUUAUAGGCCAUAUACAGUAAUCUGUGAAAUAAAGCUCAAAACAUCCUAACAACAAUGCCAAACUAAAAAUUUAAUGACUUUAGAUAUACUUAAAAGAACUUUAACACCAAACUGUAGAAAAUGUCCACUGUUUCAAUGUGGAGUAAAGCUGAAGUUUUUCUGGAACUUCCACCGAUCAGCACCUUAGCUAAAAGAUAAAAACUUCCCCUACAAGCAUCAUGACACUGGACACCCCAAUGCUAAGAACAUUCUGGAUCAUUUAUUUGUCAUUAAACAUCCAUCAAUAGGCGGUACAGAACUUUAUACCCUUUAAUGAGAUUAUGCACAUCUCAUUACUUAUCAGGUCCAAAUGCUGCCAGGCAGGCUGCUCAUAUAUUAUCAUCAUUGAUCACUGUGACUGAGUUCAUUACAAAAGCACGGUGGACUGUUCUCACUACUAAACUACUGAUGCCUUUUUCAAAACUCUAACUGCAUUCAGCACAAGACAUGAGUAAGUAAAAAUCUUGUUUAUAACAGAUUUAGAGUUUUGAAAUGUAUAUUUACUUAAGUAAAUAUAAAUUUGUGCUUAACAUCUUUUUGCACUUUUAGGAUGUGUGGUGGAUUCUAAAUGCAGCAUUAUAUAAAGAGAUAUGCACACGUUUUGCAUAAGACUAAGUAUACAGUAUUAUAGCUAGAUCAAAGCUCAAGAUUCUUUUGAGUGGGAGACAAUGAGCCUAAUUUAAAGGAAUUAAUCAGCAUUCUGACCUAACUGAGAUUUAAUUUGUUUAUGUUGUCAAUUCAGACCACCCAAGCAUACUUUUAUAUCUUAAAAUGUGUAGCUAGCAUAUGGAGAUAUCUCUAUCAUUUUAGUCAAAUAGAAACAGUAACAGUACACUGAAUGUGGAAAAGAUUUUCCUGAUGCGGUGUCAGCCUCCAUUUUGACACUGUGCUCAGCAUUCAAAGGAAAAUUCUGAGGUGUCUGCUAGUGUAACAAAGAUGCUUUUCAGACAAACUCUCCAAAUAUGAAAGAUCUGACAGUUAGCACAGCAUCUGUCCCUCAAAACUGACAAGAAUAUGACUCAAUGCAAUGUGGCCAAUUGCAUUAGCUGUGAGAUCCAAACAUUAAGGGAGAAUAAAAUCCAUAUUACAUAUGCACAGAUACCAGGUUAGUGUCAGCCCCUUGGACCUGCUGUCAACACAAAUUCGCUGAUGAAAAUGUCAUACAAAGAUACUAUAUUUUUUCUUAAAACUGGAGAGAUUGCAGGGCUUCUUUAAAUUUCGAUUGGGGUCUACAUUUUAUUAUGAUGUGGAGCAUUCAUCUGGCUGCUGAAUGUGACUGCCCAAAUAGGCUCACAAACCUGAUUUGCAUUUUGAGCUUUGGCAUUUUAAAACUGUAUUGCCCCUUUACUCAAAUCGGGAGGCAGUUAACCUCAAUAGACACAGGUUGAAGGUCACACAUUAGAUAAAACAUCAUAACAUCCAUUAAAAUGCAUUAUUUAUCAUCCACUCAUCUGAAAAUUAUAUAGUUCAGAGAUCAGGAAGCCAUUAUUUUAGCUUUUUUACUACAGAAGCUUCUGAUUUUCCAUUCAUGUAAAUUUAAUAACGUUUGUGGCAACUUUUAAUUAGCUUUCUUGUGUUAGGAGUCAGGAAAAAUCUUCAGUUUGCUUAAAGAUGUCCUUUAUUUUCCUUGUUUAAAAAACAGACAUGCACAGUAUAUUCCAGUUGAUGGAGUAAAUGAACAAAUCCGGUUGAGAAAUAACAGGACAUGUCGAACUCACUAUUUAGAUGAGAACUUGCUGGUGAUCUUUGGACCAUUGUACUACUGUAUAUCCCAAGUGUGCUGGAGCUUAAGGUCACGUACUCGUGACAUCCUCAUCCCAGAUUCUCUGGUAGAGAGAAGAAUAGCAGGUAGUGUGAUAACCCCAGACUAUCAUACUACCACCACCACGUUUGAACUUUGGUAUGAUGUUUUAUUUUUAAACUGUUCUGUUAGUUGUACAACACAAAAAUUCACCUUUGUCUUGUCAGUCGACAAAUAUAUUCCCAAAAGGCUUAACCAAGAUCAGUUUUUGGAGACAGGCUCAUAUGUUCUUUAUGACCUGCCAAGGUAUUUGCCUUGGAUCUCUCCUGCCAAUGAUUUUUUUUUUAUAUACAUUCUCUUUCUUGUUGCUGAAUUAUUGGCCUUAACCGAAGCAAGCGAGGGCUGCAUUUCUUCAGAUGUUGUUCUGGGUUCUGUUGUGACCUCCUGGAUCAGUCAUUGAAGUGCUUUUGGAAAAUGCUGGUUGCCCAGCCACUUCCAUUUGUGAAUACUGGCUCUAACCGUGAUUGACAGAUUUCCAAAGCCUUAGAAAAGGCUUUGUAACCCUUUUCAAACUGACUGAUGUCAAUAACUUUAUUUCAUCUGUUCUUAAAUUUCUUCAGAUUGCAAAACAAUGUGUUGCUUUUUGAAAACGUCUAGCCUCCUUCAUGUUGUCAAACAGGUCACGUCUAAGUGAUUUUCUGAUUCAGUUUAGUUCAGAACAAUUUUUAACUUCAUGGCAAAAGAGAAUAUUGUGGUUUUUUCAUUGCGUGAUUUUUCAAUCGGAAAGGACGAUUCAUUCACUAAGAUCUGUUCAUUCCAAAGCAGGUUCUGAGAAAUAACACCGAACCCCUCCGACAUUCUCCAGAUUCUUUGUGGGAAUGAUCCUGACAGACAUCAGCAGAGGAACUGGAGCCAUUCAUGAAUGGCUUGUGCUUGCUAUCUGCCAAAGCUUGGGAUCUUGGAUGAAUCUCAACUCCAACCCACCAUCAUAAUAUUUCCUCUGUAAGGGAUUUGUAAAGUCAAUCUAAAACACUCUGAAAAACACCAAAGGAAACGCCUCACAUAAAAUAAUUCGGUUGAAGCAUGUUUGAAAAACAAUGUCUGACCUUCAUUUGUUCAAUUUCAUAGACUUUUUAUUCAUUGUUACCUUUGUCAGAUUCAAGUUAUUUCUGUGACCAUUUUGGGUUUUUCUUUCAUUAACCGAAGGGUACCAACAAUUUUGUCCACGUGUGUAAGAGAAUAAAAUAGACCUUUGUAACUACUCAUUACUGGAUUUGUGGAAGCAUGCUCAGACCUUCGAGUGUGUUGCUGGAAACGUCCACAGAAGGAGGUGUGUGAGGAAGCUGGUGAAGACAGACUUGUGAGAGAAAGAUCAACAGUUCAGCUCACUGGAUGAGCUAACAGGAUUAGGCAAGGCAGUGAGUCAUGCUCUCACCCCUGUCUGUCACAGAGGCAGGCGAUGGGCUGUGCUGCUGAAGCUGCAUAAUCACACUUAUUAUUAAAUAUCACUUUUAGUAUCAAAAGUCACAAAACUAUAAAAGUGACAAGGAUAAUAACAUCUAUGCAAAACUACACUUUUUUUUUAAAUACGUUUUUAUACAUUUGACUGGUCCCUCUACUUAGUUCUGUUUUUGUCUCUUUUAGUCGGUCAGACCUUAAUUCUCUAACUUUCUUCUUCAUCUGACUCAGCACUGAGCCAGCACAGAAAUCGCCCCACUGUGAUGUCAUUAAACACUGACUAAUGGAGUAGCUUGGAACAGUUUUGAAAUCUUACAGAAUUGUACAAUAGCCAUAAAAAGUUUAUUAAUAAACUGUUAUAAUAACUUUCUACUCAAAAACAUGACAUUGCAAGAUCAUCAUCUGCAGGAUAAAUGCACAUGGAUAGAUGGACCUUUAAGACAUAUCACACCUAUGCCUAAAAAAAUGUUAAUUACCAAACUUUUUCAGACUCUGUAUAGGAACACUGUAAUGAUUUUUGCACUAAAGAGGUAAAGAACCAUUUGCCAAACGUUUAAGGGAACAGAACGCUUUAACAACAAGCAAUGGCAGAGUUUCUGGGAGAUUUUAUUUUUGUGCAAUAUAGUUCCCAAGCCAAUAACAUUUUACCUUCCAUGCUCCUUUUUUGCAUGAAAUGAAAAAUAUGGCAACACUAGACUCAAAAUGCUGUUAUGUUUCAUUAACAGCGGGCAAAGCCCAUUUCUGCAUGGUGUAUUCGCCCCUAUAUAACAAAAACAUCAUUCCUCAAAGGAAAAUGAUCUGAGCCAACGAAUCAUCACAGCGUUUUACAUACAUUUUAGGUCAGGCAGGAGCCUGCACUUUUUUAAAAGAUUAUAUUAAAGUGUGAGCCUCUCGGUUGUAAAAAUGUAUCCUGAAACACACAAAGAACAACUGGUGAUCCCAAAAAGAGAUGUUAUUAAUCAAGAAGAACAAAAGCUAAUAAAGCAUUUUUAGAAGUUGAACUUUUUACAAUCAGAAAUAACUGGAGAGAAUAACUUCUAGGUAUUACUACAUCCUCCAGGAACACUCAACAAGCUGACAUGAAUAAAAUAUGGAGUAUUAUAAUCUGUGCAGUCUUAGAGGAACUACUUUUAAUUCAGGAGGUGUGCAAUGAUGCAAGGAGAAACAAUUUAUAGACUAAAUAUCACUGGAAGAACACCAAAGGCAGUAAGAAAAAUGUUUCAUGAGACCCAACCUAUUGGAGAAGCAUUGAUUUUUGUUUUUGUUUUAUUAAUAGGGUCAUAUUUUUCAUUAAUCCCACAUUUGUGUAUUAAAAUGUUUUUUUAUUGGUCUGAUGUAAUAUUCUAAUCUUAAAUGCCAUGUUUUCAUUAACUGUGAGCAGAAAAAUCAUCAUGAUUAACACAAAUGUCUUGAAAACAUCAGUCUGUGUUUAAUUAGUCUAUGUUAUGUUUCACUUAAUAGAGUUCCUAAAAUAAAUGGACUUUUCAGUAGUAUUUAAAGUUAUUGAAUGAGUCUGUAUUUACAUAACUCUAUACACUUCUUGGCACCAGUGGCGGCAUCAGAGGAGGUUCCCCCGCCUUGAAUAACAUUGGCCACCCCGGUGGCACCCCCAGAUGUUGUAAAUUGUUAAUUUAACGACUAAUGCUGAGUUGUCCAUGGGUCCGUGAACGCACCUGGCUUUUCCUUUGUUAUUGCACUUUUUUUUCAUGUAGAGUACUUUUAAAAGUCUGCAAUAUAUACAUUUGAAUUCAUUUUAACAGCGUGAUUGAACUUUGUCAUUGUUGACAAGUGUUAAGUAAAUAAUUUACAUAAAAAUUAUUAUUUUAAGUGUA
Molecule: long non-coding RNA, 5349 nt
Organism: Girardinichthys multiradiatus
Lineage: Eukaryota; Metazoa; Chordata; Actinopteri; Cyprinodontiformes; Goodeidae
Exons: 2
Source: RefSeq, a predicted model, not a curated record